GACGAACGCUGGCGGCGUGCCUAAUACAUGCAAGUAGAACGCUGAAGAGAGGAGCUUGCUCUUCUUGGAUGAGUUGCGAACGGGUGAGUAACGCGUAGGUAACCUGCCUGGUAGCGGGGGAUAACUAUUUGAAACGAUAGCUAAUACCGCAUAAAAUUGAUUAUCGCAUGAUAAUCCAUUGAAAGGUGCAAAUGCAUCACUACCAGAUGGACCUGCGUUGUAUUAGCUAGUUGGUGGGGUAACGGCUCACCAAGGCGACGAAACAUAGCCGACCUGAGAGGGUGGUCGGGCACACUGGGACUUAGAAACCGCCCAGACUCCUACGGGGGGCAGCAGGAGGGAAAUUUCGGCAAUGGACGGAAGUCUGACCGAGCAAAGCCGCGUGAGUGAAGAAGGGUUUCGGAUCGUAAAGCUCUAUUGUAAGGGAAGAACGAGUGUGAGAGUGGAAAGUUCACACUGUGACGGUAUCUUACCAGAAAGGGACGGCUAACUACGUG
This 497-nucleotide ribosomal RNA is filed under the name uncultured bacterium. RNAcentral describes it as "partial 16S ribosomal RNA". It matches the Rfam family "Bacterial small subunit ribosomal RNA", at positions 28 to 507 of the family's 1533-position model. The record is from RNAcentral.